AGGGUUUGAUCCUGGCUCAGAUUGAACGCUGGCGGAAUGCUUUACACAUGCAAGUCGAGCGGCAGCACGGGGGUAACCCUGGUGGCGAGCGGCGAACGGGUGAGUAAUACAUCGGAACAUGCCCAGUCGUGGGGGAUAACACUUCGAAAGAAGUGCUAAUACCGCAUACGUCCUGAGGGAGAAAGCGGGGGAUCGCAAGACCUCGCGCGAUUGGAGCGGCCGAUGUCAGAUUAGCUAGUUGGUGGGGUAAAGGCCUACCAAGGCAACGAUCUGUAGCUGGUCUGAGAGGAUGAUCAGCCACACUGGGACUGAGACACGGCCCAGACUCCUACGGGAGGCAGCAGUGGGGAAUUUUGGACAAUGGGGGCAACCCUGAUCCAGCCAUUCCGCGUGAGUGAAGAAGGCCUUCGGGUUGUAAAGCUCUUUCGGCAGGAACGAAACGGUGAGCUCUAACAUAGCUUGCUAAUGACGGUACCUGAAGAAGAAGCACCGGCUAACUACGUGCCAGCAGCCGCGGUAAUAC
RNAcentral lists this ribosomal RNA (523 nucleotides) under uncultured bacterium. RNAcentral's name for it is "bacterial SSU rRNA". It matches the Rfam family "Bacterial small subunit ribosomal RNA", at positions 8 to 526 of the family's 1533-position model. The record is from RNAcentral.